RNAcentral lists this ribosomal RNA (488 nucleotides) under uncultured soil bacterium. RNAcentral describes it as "bacterial SSU rRNA". It matches the Rfam family "Bacterial small subunit ribosomal RNA", at positions 26 to 510 of the family's 1533-position model. The record is from RNAcentral.
AGAUUGAACGCUGGCGGAAUGCUUUACACAUGCAAGUCGAACGGCAGCACGGGGGCAACCCUGGUGGCGAGUGGCGAACGGGUGAGUAAUACAUCGGAACGUGCCCAGUCGUGGGGGAUAACUACGCGAAAGCGUAGCUAAUACCGCAUACGAUCUACGGAUGAAAGCGGGGGAUCGCAAGACCUCGCGCGAUUGGAGCGGCCGAUGGCAGAUUAGGUAGUUGGUGGGGUAAAGGCUCACCAAGCCGUCGAUCUGUAGCUGGUCUGAGAGGACGACCAGCCACACUGGGACUGAGACACGGCCCAGACUCCUACGGGAGGCAGCAGUGGGAAUUUUGGACAAUGGGCGCAAGCCUGAUCCAGCCAUUCCGCGUGCAGGAUGAAGGCCUUCGGUUGUAACUGUCUUUAGUACGGAACGAAAGGUCUUACUCUAAUACAGAGAGCUCAUGACGUACCGUAAGAAUAAGACACCGGACUAACUACGUAGCC